UACGUAGGUGGCAAGCGUUGUCCGGAUUUAUUGGGUUUAAAGGGUGCGUAGGUGGGCAGGUAAGUCAGUGGUGAAAUCUCCGGGCUUAACUCGGAAACUGCCAUUGAUACUAUCUUUCUUGAAUACCGUGGAGGUCAGCGGAAUAUGUCAUGUAGCGGUGAAAUGCUUAGAUAUGACAUAGAACACCAAUUGCGAAGGCAGCUGGCUACACGAAUAUUGACACUGAUGCACGAAAGCGUGGGGAUCAAACAGG
RNAcentral lists this ribosomal RNA (253 nucleotides) under uncultured bacterium. RNAcentral's name for it is "partial 16S ribosomal RNA". It matches the Rfam family "Bacterial small subunit ribosomal RNA", at positions 524 to 776 of the family's 1533-position model. The record is from RNAcentral.